AAGGGAAUGGUGAUCCUGAAAGAAGCUGCUAACUAUCUUUCAAAGCGGUUUAAUUCCGUUUAUCCCUUA
Molecule: transfer RNA, 69 nt
Filed under: Valleriola javanica
Lineage: Eukaryota; Metazoa; Arthropoda; Insecta; Hemiptera; Leptopodidae
Also listed under: 1 other name
Description: tRNA-Ser
Source: RNAcentral